RNAcentral lists this ribosomal RNA (457 nucleotides) under Flavobacteriaceae bacterium JJ-240. RNAcentral's name for it is "bacterial SSU rRNA". It matches the Rfam family "Bacterial small subunit ribosomal RNA", at positions 23 to 481 of the family's 1533-position model. The record is from RNAcentral. Lineage: Bacteria; Pseudomonadati; Bacteroidota; Flavobacteriia; Flavobacteriales; Flavobacteriaceae.
CUCAGGAUGAACGCUAGCGGCAGGCUUAACACAUGCAAGUCGAGGGGUAUAUUUCUUCGGAGAUAGAGACCGGCGCACGGGUGCGUAACGCGUAUGCAAUCUACCUUUUACAGAGGGAUAGCCCAGAGAAAUUUGGAUUAAUACCUCAUAGCAUUGCAGAAUGGCAUCAUUCAGCAAUUAAAGUCACAACGGUAAAAGAUGAGCAUGCGUCCCAUUAGCUAGUUGGUAAGGUAACGGCUUACCAAGGCUACGAUGGGUAGGGGUCCUGAGAGGGAGAUCCCCCACACUGGUACUGAGACACGGACCAGACUCCUACGGGAGGCAGCAGUGAGGAAUAUUGGACAAUGGGCGCAAGCCUGAUCCAGCCAUGCCGCGUGCAGGAUGACGGUCCUAUGGAUUGUAAACUGCUUUUAUACGAGAAGAAACACUGAUUCGUGAAUCAGCUUGACGGUAUCGU